GGGGCGCCCGCCUCACCACGGGAGCGCUCCAUGGCCGCGGGCGCGCGGCGUCAAGGGGAGCCGCGGCGGCGGCGGAAUGGGUGGAUCGGCGCGAACUGGAACGAAAUGGCUGCGCUGCGCUGCGCUGGAGCGGAGGCGGCGGAGCGGAGAGGAGAGAAGCGGGGGGCUUUGCUGCCAACUCCGUUGGGGUUUACCGUUUACGCCGCGGCUCCUAACCGAAUCGUCCCCAUUUUCAGGUGGGGAGUGUGCGGUGCGGCAGAAUGCGUGCAAGGGUUUUUCAGAAGGCAAAGAAAUGCCACAUCACAUUGCAUGCGGAUCAAAUUUUAUGCGUGUUUACAGCUCUCGUUAGAGUGCAAAACCUCAUCUCUGAACAGUGAACCCGUAUUCAACUCAUGGUGGAAGUGCACACCGCAGGCAACGGUGCAGAGGCUGGAAUCAACAUCAGAGACCAAGGAUCUUCUUGCAAAUCAUAUUCAGUAUUCACACGAGACGAAUCACAACGUUCCAACAUCUGACAAUAUCGCAGUGUGUAUGUACAUUUCCUUUUUUUUCAACAAAUAAAGAUCAUUUAUGUACACAUGGUGAGGUUGCAGUUGCAGAGUAGAGUUAGUUCCUGUACAAUGAGUGGCAUCUUCUACAGAAGGAAUAAAUUACAUGUCA
This is a long non-coding RNA of Panicum virgatum (switchgrass), 660 nucleotides long. RefSeq lists it as uncharacterized. The transcript is spliced from 2 exons. Lineage: Eukaryota; Viridiplantae; Streptophyta; Magnoliopsida; Poales; Poaceae. The record is from RefSeq and is a predicted model, not a curated record.